Molecule: ribosomal RNA, 430 nt
Filed under: uncultured bacterium
Lineage: Bacteria
Description: bacterial SSU rRNA
Rfam family: Bacterial small subunit ribosomal RNA
Source: RNAcentral
CUAAGAAUAUUCCGCAAUGGGAGGAAUCCUGACGGAGCGACGCCGCGUGAACGAUGAAGGCAGAAAUGUUGUAAAGUUCUUUUAUAUGGGAAGAAUAAGGUUAGGAAUAGAAUGCUUAAUUGAUGACGGUACCAUAUGAAUAAGCCACGGCUAACUACGUGCCAGCAGCCGCGGUAAUACGUAGGUGGCAAGCGUUGUUCGGAAUCAUUGGGCGUAAAGGGCAUGUAGGCGGUUAGAUAAGUGUGAAUUGAAAGACCGAAGCUUAACUUCGCGUUUGGUUUGCAAACUGUCUGACUAGAGUAUGGAAGGGGAGACUGGAAUUCCGUGUGUAGGGGUGAAAUCUGUAGAUAUGCGGAAGAAUACUUGUGGCGAAGGCGAGUCUCUGGUCUGUAACUGACGCUGAAAUGCGAAAGUGUGGGUAGCAAACAGG